RNAcentral lists this long non-coding RNA (5752 nucleotides) under Sus scrofa (pig). RNAcentral describes it as "lncRNA (ENSSSCG00005006984.1)". Lineage: Eukaryota; Metazoa; Chordata; Mammalia; Artiodactyla; Suidae. The record is from RNAcentral.
UUUUUUUUUUUUUUUUUUUUUUUUUUUUGUCUUUUUGUCUUGUUGUUGUUGUUCUUGUUGCUAUUUCUUGGGUCGCUCCCUCGGCAUAUGGAGAUCCCCAGGCUAGGGGUCAAAUCAGAGCUGGAGCUGCCAGCCUACACCACAGCCACAGCAACAUCAGAUUCAAGCCUUGUCUGCAACCUACGUCACAGUUCACGGCAAUGCUGGAUCCUUAACCCACUGAGCAAGGCCAGGAAUGGAACUCGCAACCUCAUGGUUCCUGGUCAGAUUCAUUUCUGCUGCACCAUGAUGAGCACUCCCCAAACCACUUUUUAAACAAACAUAAAACAAACAAACAAAACCAUUAUAAUCUCCUGGGAGAAAUGAGUCACUUUUUCUAUAUUAAGGAAUAUAGAACUCAGCUGAUCACCAAGUACCAAGUAAGACAAAAGACAGAAAGAAACCCCUCUGAUGGGAAAAAUUUAUUUGUAAUCUUCUAACUGGAUCCCCAUUGGUGUUAAUUAUUUCUACAGUUCUCUCAAAGCCCACUAAAAUUCCACCUCUUCUGUGAGAAAUACGAAAAGGUACAUGACAGGGCCCACCUGUUUUAUAGGUAUUUCAAAAUCUGCACAUCUGGGGCUGAACUUACACUUUUGUCCUCACACCUUGGUCCUCUCUCAGGGUCACAUGGCUUCAACAACUUUUCUCAAAACAAAAUUGAAAGACAUCCCUUUCCCUUCCUUGUCUUUCACUCCAUUAACUCCAAUAUCCUAUUAAUAAUUAAGUCCCUCCUUAUCCAUCUCCUAAGUACCAUCAGAUCAUAAGUACCAUCUGAAUCCACCCUACCUCUACCACCCUUGAUAAAGCCAUCAUCUUCUCUCUCCUGGACAUUUGCCAAAAGCUUCUCAAAUGGUCUCCAGGUACACACUCUUGCUCCAUUCUGGAGUCAAAAGGGUCUGAAAGAUGAAACCUAUCUCAGAUAGCUUCCAGCUGCCCAUAGGAUAAGUUCCAAACUCCUUAGCCUCAAGGUCCUGCAUGAUCUGCCACUUGUUACCUUGUAACUUGUUAUAGGCUCUUUCUCCCAUCACCUUCUCCCGGCUGCCUGAGGACUCAAGCCAUGUUGGUCCUUGUCCCUCCAAAGAGGAGGCCAGGCUCUUACUCAUCCCAGAGCUUCAUCCAUGCUGUGCCCCCUCCUUCUCUCCUGCUUCCUUUCCCUCUCCUUCUAGCCAGGUCCUACUCCGCCUUCAGAUCUCGACUCCACAUCCUCAGGUAAGCAGUCCCGGACACCUGCCCCCCUGGAUUAGGUCCCCUCCUAGAUAUUCCCACAGCUCUUUAUAUCUCUCCUUUGUAACCCACAAUGUACUAUUAAGUCCUUGUUCUUUGUCUAUUUAGAAGUUAGAAAUUACAAGAUAAUAGGGACUGUCUCUUCUUCAAUCGCUGCUGCAUCCCAGGUUCUCGGCAUCUAAUUUAUGCUCAAAUAGUUGUCGAAUCAAUAAAUGAAUGAAUGAUGUGCUGUCUAAAUCAGUGACUCAUAAACUUUGCGCUGCAGAAGAAUCAACUGAGAAGCCAACAGGCAGAUCUGUGAUCAGUCCCAGAAUCUACCUUUUCAACAAGAAUCCAGGGGAUUUGGAUGCAGAUCUUCCUAACUUUAGGAAGCAUUCCUCCAGGAUACAGAGAGCGAGGGCAGAGGAUUGAGGUUAAAGAGACAAAAGGGAGCAAAAUGGGAGAAGUUAAAUAACAAGUGACGAUUUAUGUAACUGUUCAAACAACCGCUGAACAUCUGAAGGGCUAAAUGACAGACUGUCAGAUUCAUUCCUCAGACAACAAAGAGCCCAGAAUGGUUAGAAGCAGCAGCUACCUGAUGUGGCUGGAGGUCAGAGGAGGUAUUAAAAUGGGAAAAUUAGUUUGCUCUUGUGCUAAAGGUUGGGUAAUGUUGGAAAGAAGGGGAGGAGGGCAAAUGGUAUUGCAGGCAGAUAUACAAGUAGGAAGCAGGAGUUCAGUAAGAGGGCAAGAAGUGAAGCACUUUACUGAAGAGCAGGCUCAGGAACUGAGUGGUCGGGGAUGUGACUGGAAAUACAGGGAAGGGCCUGACCAUAGAGGUCCUUGAAGUUAAUGAAGGGGAUCAGAACAGGCCACCUCAAAAUACAGUGCUUUGGCUUAAGGAUCAUUUUGAGCGGAAGGCAAUUGAAAAAUAGCAGAUGCAGGAGGAACUCUCUGUCCUCCCCUUUCUGCCUAAAAGCAGGGCAUAAAUUUCCCUUUGUGAAGGCGUCCCCUUCUCCUCCUCCAUACAGGGAAGGGGAGAUGCCUCGGACAGUACCACCUCGAGUCUGCAUAACACAUCUUAUUAACUCCUUAUCCUCCAGGAGUUUCUCCCAUAUAUUUGCCUUCUCACAACCUUCUCUAGAAGCCCAAACCUCUUUUCUUUUUUAAAAAAUUGGAGUAUAAUUGAAAUUCGAAUUGGUACAGUGUUGUGCCAGUUACAGCAUAGUGACGCAGUCAUACAUUCUUUUUCUCGUGUUAUCUUCCAUCAUGUUCUAUCCCAGGAGAUUGGAUAGAGUUCCCCGUGCUGUACAGCAGGAUCUCACUGCUUACCCAUUCUAAAUGUAAUAGUGUGCAUCUACCAGCCCCAAACUCUUUUCUUUUAUCUGUUGUCUUGUCAUCUCUCCUCAAUUUAUCACCUGUUGUUAAAAUGGUAUAUAUGCUUGCAGGCCCAACUGCUUGUAGGGUUUUUCAAUGAUUUUAUUGUGCAGUUUCUAGUGUGCAUGUGAAAUAAACAUUUUUCAACUGUUGCUCUGUCUUUUGUCCACUUAGUUUACAGGCCUCAGUCACUGAACUUAAGAGUGGUAGAAGAAAAGAUUCUUUCCUCUACAAUAAGAAAGAGAAUGACAGGAAAAAACUCCCCCAAAGUAACACCUGACUUGCAAUUUAAAUGAAGUGUUAAAACGUGGGAUACUUAAAAGGAAAUACUCAUUUUUUUUGGUAUAAUAUACCACAUUGCCCCUGAAACACUAAAAGACUUCUCCAUAAGGUAGCCUUCAUAUAUGUUAUAAAAAUACAGGGGAAAAAAAAUCAAGGCAAAAGGAAAAGGUGACACUUAUGUCAUGUCAUGGAAGUGCUUAGUUCUAAGACAACUGAGUGCUGAGAAAUUUCAAAGGAAAUGAAAGAACUGAAAUAUAAGUCUAACUUUGAACUCAGUUAACAUAAGAAGAGUCCCUUUUUUCUGUCUUAACUUAUUUCAUGUCUGCUUUGAUAAGUCGUGGGAAGGAAUUGAAGGGGAUCAGGACAUGCUUUUCUAAAAUAUGCCACUUUGGCAUAAGGAUUAUUUUGAACUGAAAGCAAUUAAGAAACAGCAGACCCAGGAGAAAGUGUCUGCCCUUCCACUUUCUACCUAAAAGCAGGGCAUAAACUUUCCUUUAUGAAGGUGUUUCCCAUUCCUGUACUGGGAAGAGGAAGGCAACUCUUAUCACUGCAGACAGAGUCAGCCCUGAGAUGAGUCUGCAUAAACAAACCUUACUAAAAUAACCCUUAUCUUCCAUUAGUUUCCCUCCAUAUAUUUUCUACUCAUUCAAAGCCCAAACAAAGAAGAGCCUUUGUUAAAAUGAUAGAUAAGUCCCUGAGUUUAUCACUUCUUUGCAUUUAACUUCUUUUCUGAGAACUCUCACGCAUGAAUGAUAUCGAUGAAAUGUAUAUUUCUUUUCUCCUCCUAAUCUGUUUUUUGGUCAGUUAAAUUCACAGGCCCCCAGACACUGAACCUAAGAGGGUAGAGGAAAAGGUCCCCCCGCCCCCCGGCCCAACAGAAUCUAGUUGAUGGAAUUAGAAUGUCACAAUCCAUUAUAUGAUGGUUGACUGAAUCAAAGAGAGGGUAUAAAAAGGCACAAAGAAAAACUCCAGAAUUUCACCCUGACUAGGUCCUGCCACAGCCCCCACAACCAGCUCCUGAACUUCUACAUGUGGAACCUGCAAGUAGUCCAGGAAUGGUGCUCAAAAGACCAGGCUUUAAGUCCAAGUUCUAUCACUUCCAAGCCAGAUGGAUUCCCCUCACUUCAACUACAGAUUCUUUAUCUGUGAAACGGGGAUUUUUUUUUUUUUUUUGCCAUCAUUACAGGGUUGUGAGCAACCAAUAAGCAUUUGUAAACUGUAAGUCAGUUUAUAAAUAGAAGGCAUUAUUAAAUUCUAUCAAUAGGUAACAUAAUAGCAAAGGAGAUUUCAUCUUUUUUUCUUAAAUUACUAUGCAAGUGACAUUCAAGGAAACAGUUGUAGGAGAUGAUAUGAGAUAAAAUGGUGAAAUAAUUACAAAUGAUGCAAUAAUACUCUUAUGUGUAUACGUUCUCUCUUUGGCUUUACUUCAUUUGCUUUCUUGAGGAUAAAUAUCUUAAACCCCAGCAGUACAUCAGUGUUACUCUCUGAAGGCUAAAUACUGCAAAAAUUUAUAUCUGAUAUUUAGGAAAAGUGCCAAACCUGGCGAUAUCUGUACACACACUGGAUCCAAGAUUCAGCAAACAGAUGCUCUUUCUUGCAAUCAGCCAAGAACUUCUAAUAUUCUGACAACUUGUUAAUCAACCAACAUAUGGUAUCACUUUAGUAAACACAACACUCAGAUUUUGCUUUACAGGGCACUUUCUGAGAGAUAUAAUGGUCCUGACUCAUCAACCCUAUUCACUGGAAAUCAGGGGAAGCUAGGCUGCACCACCCACCUUAAAUUUGUUUAAUUACUCGGGGAAAAAAUAAAUAUGGGCAUCGAUGUGGAUUCUGUGCAUUUUUUUUUCUGAGAUGAGAUUUUUAAAAAUGCCAUCUUUUGAGACAUCUGUAAAAGCAGUAGAAUACCUUUAUUCUACAGAUUUACAUAUAUAUGUGUAAUAUAUCCAAAAUGCCUGAAGUUCCUGCAUUAGACUCCUAGGGCUGCUGUAACAAAUUACAGCAAACUAGCUGGCUUGGAACAAGAUACAUUUAUUUUUUGACCUUCUGGAGGCUAGAAGUCUGAAAUGGAGUUGUUGGCUAGGCUAUGCUCCUUCUGAAGCCUCUGGUGUGUGAGUGUGGGGGGUCCUUCUUUGCCUCUUCCAGCUUCUCAUGGCCCCAAGCCCAUUUUGGCUCCUGGCAUGUAACUCACCUGCACGUGGCCCUCUUCCUCAUGUUUGUGUCCAGAUUUUACUCUUAUUUUAAGGACCUCAGUCAUACUGAACUAGGGACCACUGCACUCCGUUGUGACCACAUCUUAACCUGAUUACAUCCAAACAGGGUCACGUUCACAGGUAUAGCCGGAGUCAGGACCUCACAUAUCCUUUCCAGGUAUAUGAUGCAACCCACAAGCGUUCCAAAUGGACAGAUCUGAUCGUACGAGGUGAUCUGGUGGUCCUAUCAGCCAUGUGUGGGCCUUUUCUCCCGAUGCUCUUCCUGUGGCAGAAUUUCCCCUCUUUUUUUUUUUUUUUUAGGGCCACACCCAUGGCAUAUGGAAGUUGUUGGGCUAGGGGUGAAAUUGGAGCUGCAGCUGUAGACCUACACCACAGCGCACGGCAACGUUGGACCCUUAACCCACUGAAAAAGGCCAGGGAUUGAACCUGCAUCCUCACAGAUACUAUGUUGGGUUCUUAACCUGCUGAGCCAUAAGGAGAACUCCAGAAUUUCCCCCUUUUUUAUGGCUGAAUAAUAGUCCACCAAAAAUUCACUCCCCCCCACCAACAUUCAUAUCUUCGAACAGAGUAAAAUCUUUGAACUCCACCUUAAAAAUAUAUCCCAACAAUAACUCCUCCUUCCAUUUCCACUGUCCCCUGUGGGU